Molecule: ribosomal RNA, 427 nt
Filed under: uncultured bacterium
Lineage: Bacteria
Description: bacterial SSU rRNA
Rfam family: Bacterial small subunit ribosomal RNA
Source: RNAcentral
AUUGAACGCUGGCGCAGGCCUAACACAUGCAAGUCGAGCGAGACCUUCGGGUCUAGCGCGGACGGGUUAGUAACGCGUGGGAACUGGCCCUUCUCUGCGGAAUAGCCACUGGAAACGGUGAGUAAUACCGCAUACGCCUUCGGGGGAAAGAUUUAUCGGAGAAGGAUCGGCCCGCGUUAGAUUAGAUGUUGGUGGGUAACGGCCUACCAAGUCUACGAUCUAUAGCUGGUUUUAGAGGAUGAUCAGCAACACUGGGACUGAGACACGGCCAGACUCCUACGGGAGGCAGCAGUGGGGAAUCUUAGACAAUGGGCGCAAGCCUGAUCUAGCCAUGCCGCGUGUGUGAUGAAGGUCUUAGGAUCGUAAAGCACUUUCGCCAGGGAUGAUAAUGACAGUACCUGGUAAAGAAACCCCGGCUAACUCCGUG